CGAAAUGCGAUAAUUAAUGUGAAUUGCAGAAUUCAGUGAAUCAUCGAGUCUUUGAACGCACAUUGCGCCCCCUGGUAUUCCGGGGGGCAUGCCUGUCCGAGCGUCAUUGCUGCCCUCAAGCACGGCUUGUGUGUUGGGCUUCCGUCCCUGGCAACGGGGACGGGCCCAAAAGGCAGUGGCGGCACCAUGUCUGGUCCUCGAGCGUAUGGGGCUUUGUCACCCGCUCCCGUAGGUCAAGCUGGCAGCUAGCCUCGCAACCAAUCUUUUUAACCAGGUUGACCUCGGAUCAGGUAGGGAUACCCGCUGAACUUAAGC
This 315-nucleotide unclassified non-coding RNA is filed under the name plant metagenome. RNAcentral describes it as "partial contains 5.8S ribosomal RNA, internal transcribed spacer 2, and large subunit ribosomal RNA". The stretch from base 1 to 106 matches the Rfam family "5.8S ribosomal RNA", at positions 49 to 154 of the family's 154-position model. The record is from RNAcentral.